GUCACAACAUCGCCAUCUCCCACAUGCGCUCAACUUUCCCUCCGUCUCAUCCAAAUCCUCACUUUCUUUAAUCUUUAUAUCUCCAAAGAACAUAUCUUUCACUUCCAUUUCUAUAUUCUCCAAUUCCCUCAACAACUACUUACAUAAUUGCCGAUUCUUCUGGCCAUUCAUGGACAUGGCUUGGGUGGCUCUGCAAAUCAACUGUUUGUUUAGGGAUUGUGAAAUGGGACUAUUUGGUAGCAGCUAUAAAGAGACCCUAAUGUUAUGGGGCUUUGGGAAAUGAUUGGUUUAGGGUCUGUCACAGAUUCUUGGCUCUUUGAAUUUGGACAACAAACUGGUGUUCUCAAAAAGAUGCAUUGUCUUGGUACAAUGAGGCAAGAACUUGGCUUAGGAAUAGAAAAUUUUUAGUGAAAAUUUAUUCA
Non-coding RNA from Cucurbita pepo subsp. pepo (vegetable marrow), 422 nucleotides. The record is from RefSeq and is a predicted model, not a curated record. Lineage: Eukaryota; Viridiplantae; Streptophyta; Magnoliopsida; Cucurbitales; Cucurbitaceae.